Molecule: transfer-messenger RNA, 341 nt
Filed under: Selenomonas ruminantium subsp. lactilytica TAM6421
Lineage: Bacteria; Bacillati; Bacillota; Negativicutes; Selenomonadales; Selenomonadaceae
Also listed under: 1 other name
Rfam family: transfer-messenger RNA
About the family: Bacterial tmRNA, also known as 10Sa RNA or SsrA, is named for its dual tRNA and mRNA-like properties. Its role is to liberate the mRNA from a stalled ribosome.
Source: RNAcentral
GGGGAUGUAAUGGUUUCGACGGGGUAUUGAAGCCACGAGGUUCGCAGGCCAAUGGUUACGAAGCCUAACUCUUAACCGCUAAAUGUAAUUGACGAAUUCGAUUACGCAUACGCUGCCUAAGCCUUGCGCUUAGCAGCCCCCUCGGUAUCACUAGCUGCGGGCAGGGCUGAGGGUUUCAAAUAAGCGCAGCAGUUUUUCCUUUUUUCGCAAAAGAGGAUGGUGGAGAACUCUGAAUCCCAGAGUUUGCGCUUCUAUGAUGCUGGCAUACUCCAGCUAUUGCGAUAAUGCCUUGUGAUGUGGAUGUAUUUCGGACAGGAGUUCGAUUCUCCUCAUCUCCACCA